Quercus robur (English oak) is the source of this 3183-nucleotide long non-coding RNA. RefSeq lists it as uncharacterized. The transcript is spliced from 4 exons. NCBI's taxonomy places the organism in Eukaryota, Viridiplantae, Streptophyta, Magnoliopsida, Fagales, Fagaceae. The record is from RefSeq and is a predicted model, not a curated record.
UUUUUUUUUAAUGAAUAAUGGAACACACCUGUGGUGAACUAAACACAGCCCAGGAAUAUAUUACCAAGUAGGAAGUACCUCUAAAGUCGUGAACACAUACAGCACAUCAAAAAUGGAGGACGACGAUGCCGUUUACAAUAUUCCAUCAACUCCGGGAGCUUUCAGGCUUCUGUGAGAUGUGUUCUUGAGCUUCAGAGGCGAAGACACACGCCACACCUUCACCAGCAACCUCUAGACCUCCCUCCACAACCAUGGCGUCCGAGUCUUCCGCGACGACGACGGGUUACGCCGUGGAGACGAGAUCGCCUCGAGUCUGCUCGAAGCAAUCGAGGACUCGGCAGCUUCCAUCGUCAUCAUCUCCCCUAAGUACGCGUCGUCGAAGUGGUGCCUCGAGGAACUUUCCAACUGCCGGAGGCUCAUACUCCCCGUGUUCUACCGAGUCGACCCGUCUGAUGUUCGGAGACAAAAAGGACCUUUCGAAGAACAUUUUAGGAAACAUGAAGAGAGGUUUGGGGAAGACAAGGUUUUGAAGUGGAGGAAAGCCAUGGAAACUGUUGGUGGAAGAGCUGGUUGGGUUUUCACCAACAGCGAAGAAGCACUAUUGGCUCUACUGUUGAUUCUUAAUACUUUCCAUUUGAUUGACAAUAGGGAACACAAUUUAUAGAAGGCAUUGUCCUAGACUUUGAGAAAAGAUUAGAAAAGCCUCUCAAAGAUCCAAGUGGUGAUACAAUUUUUUGGUAUAACCUUCAAACAAACCUCAAUUUCACCUCAGCAGUCACAUACUUAAAGGAAAGGUAUGAACGUUAUCUUGCAGAUCGAGCAGAGAGAGAGAGAGAGGUUGUAAUUUUCACCAAUUCCCUUAAAACCAUGGUCAAUCUUAGACUGCUCCAAAUAAAUAAUGUGAAUUUGGAAGGGAAGUUCAAAUAUCUUCCUGUUGAACUGAAGUGGCUACAAUGGAAAGGUUGCCCCAUGAAAAGUCUUCCUUCUGAUUUUUGUCCUCGCAAAGUUGCUGUACUUGAUUUAUCAGAAAGCAAAAUUGAACAAUUGUGGGGUUCGCACAAUAACAAGGUGCUUGAGAACUUGAUGGUUUUGAAUCUCCAUGGUUGCUUUAAUCUAGCUGCUGUUCCAGAUUUAUCCGGACAUCAAGCCUUGGAAAAAUUCCUGAUGAUUUUGAGAUGUUGUCAUCACUGGAGUUUUUGAAUCUAGGCCACAAUAAUUUUUACAGCCUUCCCUCCAGCCUGAGGGGCCUGUCCAUCCUCAAAAAACUUAUCUUGCACGAUUGUAAGGAGCUCAAGUCUCUCCCUCCACUGCCCUCAAGUUUGCUAGAGGUAAAUGUUGAAAAUUGUAUUGCAUUGGAAAAUAUAUCUGAUCUUUCAAACUUGGAAACCUUAGUGAUCUGAACCUUACUAAUUGUGAGAAAGUGAUGGACAUUCCUGGCCUUGAAUGCUUGAAGUCCUUGAGAAGGUUGUACCCGAGUGGUUGCAAUGUGUGCUAGCCAAUAGUAAAGAGAAGACUGUCUAAGGUUUCUUUGAGGAACAUGCGCAAUCUAAGUAUGCCUGGAAGCAAGAUUCCGAAUUGGUUUUCUCAGAAGGAGGUUAGAUUUACAAACCUUAGAAACUGUGAGAUCAAAUGUGUUAUUAUAGCUGUUGUCUCGCUCAAUCAGCAAGUAUCAGAUGACCUUAGAUAUCGUCUACCUGCAAUAGUGGACAUCCAGGCAGAGAUCCUUGAAUAAAAUAGUUAUGUAUACAAAACAACAUUGAACUUGAAUGGAGUCCCAAAGACGAAUGAAGAUCAAAUUCACUUGUGCCAAUACCCAUUUGAUCAUCCAAUUGUUUGGUCAUUGAAAGAUGGUUAUAAGAUACAAGUGAUAAUGAGAAACCCGCUAAUCAUGAAGGGUGUUGAGCUCAAGAAUUGGGGGGUUUAUUUGGUUUUUGAUGGUGAUGAUGAUUACGAGGGAGAUGAAGAAUCAUUGAAUGAAAGCCAACAAUCCAUAUUAGAAAGACUAGCAACGUUUUUCAACACUUUUGAAGAAGACGAUUGUGUCUCUAAAUCUGUUGGUGAAGUUGAGGAAAAAGUGGAAAAGAUUACAUUUUUGUGUACACCCUGUUUUUUGUCAAGAACCUGAUGUUGAAAAGUGGAAAAGAUUGAAGGAAGAGAACAGCAAAGAGCAAAUUCAUUUGACAAAUUUACUUUGUUUCUGCUUUCAUUGUUCUUUCUUUUGUCAUUCUGUGGAGUUGGUCACAAAUAUGGUGUUAACAGAGACGGUCUCUACAGUAGCUUUUUAUUUUAAUUCAAAGUCAACCUUGCAAAUGAGAACCUUAGCAGCUCCGAAGUUUGGGGAAUUUUGAAUUUUAUGCCUUGAAAUUUUAGAUUUUAUCUCUGAAGUUAUUGUAGAAUAUGGCUUGAAUCAGGAGUUCGACUCCUUGUUGGAUUUGGAUAAGGAAGGAAUUUUAUUCCUUUUGGGUUACUGUUGUUUGAAGUUAUCAAGCUCUAUUAGAAGUCUUGUUUACUACUUGAUUUGGAAUUCCAUUUGGAAUAGGAGUGAUUCUCCUUUUAUGUGUGGAAAAGAAGUCUAGUUCUUCUUGGUUUUGGAUAUACCAGCUGACUCAAGUCUCCUAUAUAAGCAUAGUGCUACUAUGGAAAAUUAGAGAAAGAGAGAAAGAUGGGAGUGUGUGAGAAAAAGGCUCUCUUCGUUUGGUAUUUUGCUAUUUGUACAUGGCAACUUGGAAUUGUGAGAGAGAGAGAGAGAGAGAUGAGAGGGUGUGAGAAAAAGAGGCUCUCUCUUGGUUUGGUUAUUUGAUAUUUGUGGGUUGUAAUUUGGAAUCGUGAGAGAGGCUUUGUUGCCGCUUGGUAUUGGUUCUGCGGUUUGGUGAUUUGCUUUCUUUUGAUGCAUUGCAACUUUUGGAUUUGAUUUGUGGCUUUCUCUUUAGUUUGUGCGCAAUUCAUAUUUGGUAUUUGAUAUUCGUAUUUGGUAUUUGUGAACCUUUGGUUCUUUGUUUCUUAUUUGGUUCUUUAGUUUUAUCUGUGAGAGAGAGUUACUUGGAUGUAUUUGGGAUUUGGGUUUGUGAGAGUGCAUCUACACCAAUUUGUAUUAUCUCAAAUUUGUUAUAGUGAAAUUUGUUUGUUGUCGCCCGUGGAUGUAGGCUAUUGCCGAACUACAUAAAUCUUGGUGUUUUGUGUCUA